RNAcentral lists this ribosomal RNA (511 nucleotides) under Craterellus cornucopioides var. mediosporus. RNAcentral describes it as "eukaryotic LSU rRNA". It matches the Rfam family "Eukaryotic large subunit ribosomal RNA", at positions 122 to 612 of the family's 3401-position model. Lineage: Eukaryota; Fungi; Basidiomycota; Agaricomycetes; Cantharellales; Hydnaceae. The record is from RNAcentral.
CUGGCAGUGAUUCACUGUCCGAGUUGUAAAUUGAAGAGAAUGUCAUCCACGCUGGACCACGUCUAAAUUGUAAUGAUCCACAGUCCUUUGAUGGAGUAUCAGAGAGGGUAAUAAUCCCGUCUUUAAAGUGGACUGCCAGUGUUUCUGUGAUGCACUCUCUCAGAGUCGAGUAGUUUGGGAAUGCUGCUCUAAUGGGAGGUAAACUCCUUCUAAAGCUAAAUAUUGGCGAGAGACCGAUAGCGAACAAGUACCGUGAGGGAAAGAUGAAAAGAACUCUGAAAAGAGAGUCAAAUAGAACGUGAAAUUGCUGAAAGGGAAGCGUUUGGAGUCAGACGCGUCUUCAUGCAAUACAGCUCAGUGGUUGAGACUUUGAGACAAGUUACUUGAAGACGGGCCAGCACUCACGAAGACCAUUGAAGAAGGGGUCAUGGAAUGUAGCUCAGUGCUGAGUGAUUAUAGCCUUGAUUCAAAAGCAAUGUGUCCUUUGUGAGAGAUGGACAGCACGGACAAC